AUGGCUGUCGUCAGCUCGUGUCGUGAGAUGUUGGGUUAAGUCCCGUAACGAGCGCAACCCCUAUCCUUAUUUGCCAGCGGAUUAUGCCGGGAACUCUAAGGAGACUGCCGGUGACAAACCGGAGGAAGGCGGGGAUGAGGUCAAGUCAUCAUGGCCCUCACGGGGUGGGCUAGAAACGUGCUACAAUGGGAAGUACAAAGGGCUGCGAGCCCGCGAGGGUGAGCGAAUCCCAAAAAACUUCUCGUAGUCCGGAUAGGAGUCUGCAACUCGACUCCUUGAAGUCGGAAUCGCUAGUAAUCGCGAAUCAGAAUGUCGCGGUGAAUACGUUCCCGGGCCUUGUACACACCGCCCGUCACAUCAUGGAAGUGGGUUGCACCAGAAGUAGCUAGUCUAACCUUCGGGAGGGCGGCUACCACGGUGUGGUUCAUGACUAGGAUGAAGUCGUAACAAGGUAGCCGUA
Molecule: ribosomal RNA, 460 nt
Filed under: uncultured Gammaproteobacteria bacterium
Lineage: Bacteria; Pseudomonadati; Pseudomonadota; Gammaproteobacteria
Description: bacterial SSU rRNA
Rfam family: Bacterial small subunit ribosomal RNA
Source: RNAcentral